UGGGGAAUAUUGCACAAUGGGCGCAAGCCUGAUGCAGCAACGCCGCGUGAACGAUGAAGGUCUUCGGAUCGUAAAGUUCUGUUGCAGGGGAAGAUAAUGACGGUACCCUGUGAGGAAGCCCCGGCUAACUACGUGCCAGCAGCCGCGGUAAUACGUAGGGGGCUAGCGUUAUCCGGAUUUACUGGGCGUAAAGGGUGCGUAGGUGGUCUUUCAAGUCGGUGGUUAAAGGCUACGGCUCAACCGUAGUAGCCUCCGAAACUGGAAGACUUGAGUGCAGGAGAGGAAAGUGGAAUUCCCAGUGUAGCGGUGAAAUGCGUAGAUAUUGGGAGGAACACCAGUAGCGAAGGCGGCUUUCUGGACUGCAACUGACACUGAGGCACGAAAGCGUGGGUAGCAAACAGG
This 402-nucleotide ribosomal RNA is filed under the name Verrucomicrobiota bacterium. RNAcentral's name for it is "Verrucomicrobia bacterium partial 16S ribosomal RNA". It matches the Rfam family "Bacterial small subunit ribosomal RNA", at positions 355 to 776 of the family's 1533-position model. Lineage: Bacteria; Pseudomonadati; Verrucomicrobiota. The record is from RNAcentral.